UUUCAUGCUAUCCUUAGAGAUUCCACAGUCUCUCGUGUGCCUCAUAAUCAGCAGGGCUUGCUAUUUCGAACAAGUCUCAUUUCAGAAAGGGCCUUGUUGAGAUGAAGUUUUAGAGAUGCUGAAGAUGGAAUUAGACGCAUGUGAAAGGUUAAGCAUAACGAGUAAUGCAAAUGGGAGAUAAACUCUGGUACAUGGUGUUUCAAUCGAAAUCUCUAAGAGGUGUAACACUGUACCAAGUGGAGAACCGUUACAUGGACCAAUUAUUGUGGUCUUGGUUUGUGUGUGUCUCUUGGUUGUUGCUUGAAUUAAUAGAUGCUGAAUGCACUACACGGGGCGGGUUGUUACAUUUUUAUUCAAGCCGUCCUCCUUGUAGUUCAUUGCAUGUACUCUUCACGUAUGGGCUUCUUCACAGUUUGCACCCCCCCCCUCGUAUCUGGAUCUAGAGGCUAGUAGAUAACAAUCACGAGGACACAACAUAUUUGACUUCUCAGCAUAUUCUACUACGGGCAUAUCACAAUCAUCUGUUUUUUCAAGUAAGCUAGCCCGCUGUAGCCGUUCCAUCUGGUGUUCUUUAAUCCAUUGACUGGCAACACUCAACGGCAUGAGUGUAACUGUAAGUUACCUAUCUACUUAUAUUCUUUCUUGUUUCACAAUUCAUGGUUUGUUCUAUUAUGUUGCUACCUUUGGACCAAACCAGAGAACCACUAUGUAGCUAAUAAGUUUCCACCUAUGAAGCUUGAGUUUGUGUAUGGGGUAACAGGCAAGCUUUGAAACUUGAAAGUCUCAAUCUUUUUAGUUUGAUUAAGUAAUAAGUAAGCAGUUUUCGGUUACUCAUUUUGGUUAGCUGAUUAGUCCCACGUUUGAUAUUUUAAAAUCUAGUUAAAGAAGAUUGUCAUCUUCGAUGG
Brassica oleracea var. oleracea is the source of this 905-nucleotide long non-coding RNA. RefSeq lists it as uncharacterized. The record is from RefSeq and is a predicted model, not a curated record. The transcript has 7 exons. NCBI's taxonomy places the organism in Eukaryota, Viridiplantae, Streptophyta, Magnoliopsida, Brassicales, Brassicaceae.